RNAcentral lists this ribosomal RNA (484 nucleotides) under uncultured bacterium. Its description in RNAcentral is "partial 16S ribosomal RNA". It matches the Rfam family "Bacterial small subunit ribosomal RNA", at positions 29 to 507 of the family's 1533-position model. The record is from RNAcentral.
AUUGAACGCUGGCGGCAUGCUUUACACAUGCAAGUCGAACGGCAGCGCGGGCUUCGGCCUGGCGGCGAGUGGCGAACGGGUGAGUAAUACAUCGGAACGUGCCCAGUAGUGGGGGAUAGCCCGGCGAAAGCCGGAUUAAUACCGCAUACGACCUGAGGGUGAAAGCGGGGGAUCCUCGGACCUCGCGCUAUUGGAGCGGCCGAUGGCAGAUUAGCUAGUUGGUGGGGUAAAGGCCUACCAAGGCGACGAUCUGUAGCUGGUCUGAGAGGACGACCAGCCACACUGGGACUGAGACACGGCCCAGACUCCUACGGGAGGCAGCAGUGGGGAAUUUUGGACAAUGGGCGAAAGCCUGAUCCAGCAAUGCCGCGUGUGUGAUGAAGGCCUUCGGGUUGUAAAGCACUUUUGGCGGGAACGAAAAGGACUGUGCCAAUACCACGGUUCGAUGACGGUACCCGCAGAAUAAGCACCGGCUAACUACGUG